Brienomyrus brachyistius is the source of this 996-nucleotide long non-coding RNA. RefSeq lists it as uncharacterized. The record is from RefSeq and is a predicted model, not a curated record. The transcript has 3 exons. Lineage: Eukaryota; Metazoa; Chordata; Actinopteri; Osteoglossiformes; Mormyridae.
UUUUUUUUUUGGGAAAAUAAGAGAGAGAGCGUGGCACGGAAGAGGGAGAAGCAUAAGCGCAGACAUAGAAAGAAAACAGGAGAGGAAAAGGUGUUUUUGUAAGUUGAAACCGUGAAAACUGUAAAGGCAAGUGAGCUGAGAGUUUGCUUACUUUAGGUGGUUAUUUUCUAGCCACGGAGGUAACAAGUUUACCCUGCUAGCUCCUGUUUUAGCGUAGUGCGCUUUCAUGACACGUGUUUAGUGUGCAAUUUGCUAACUGCAAGCGUAAGUGACUAACUAAGCAGCCAAGACUGCCACUGAAGUGCAACGUAGCGCACAGUUGACGCUGUGAAUACGGCGUGCAGUUGAACUUCUGAUGUAGACGCCAGAAUAGGCCAAAAGGGCCUGCGUGCAUAGUGUGGAGAAGUUUACAGACACCGUGGACGGCCUGUGCGACAGAAAAGUGGAGUGGCUAAACAGUGAAGGUCAUAGGAGGGUCCUUUGGACAAGCGUGGACGUAAAUAUCCGUCUUUUCGACAUCGGGUGCUAUUUCAUCAGUGCCCUGCCAUUCGUCGACUUCUGCCAGUGACUCCUCUCAACCAAUCUUCUGGAGAUUAAGAUCAAACACUGCUUACCUCAAGGCUCACGUCCAUAGCAGCAGAAAAUGGAUUACCUCGACUAUUUCAACGACGAUCAGAGACCACCACCAAGACCAGAAAGAAGAUUGCUUAAAGACAGGAGCAACCCACUGAAUGAUUUUGAUGAUUUACAUUUUCUUGACUGUUUCUGUAUGUCGAAGGAAAAUGCAACAGAAAAAAUUGGUUUGCUGCAGCCCAAGCUUUCAGACAACUCAAGAUGAAGAAUGUUCUUUUAAAUAUUGUGAUUCAUGGAACUCUAUGGCAAGUUUCUCAUGAAUGGUCAUCCUUCUCCUUGGAUUAGAGACUGCUGAAUGCUGACCAAUGCUACUGCAGGAGACUAGAUGCUGCAGCAUGUUCAUGCUGGCUGCUGCUGGAUUCG